Saccostrea cuccullata (small rock oyster) is the source of this 567-nucleotide long non-coding RNA. RefSeq lists it as uncharacterized. The transcript has 2 exons. The record is from RefSeq and is a predicted model, not a curated record. Lineage: Eukaryota; Metazoa; Mollusca; Bivalvia; Ostreida; Ostreidae.
UCAGGCGGGGAGUGUUCUGACACUUUCCGGAUUUUUGCGUUCCGUAUUUUAGUUUUUUGGUUUAUACGCACUUAGGUAACGUUGCGUAUACGAUUAGCAGAAUGGCAUGGCUGCUCACGGUUUUGGCCGUCCUUUCCUUGUAACUGUUUAAUUGCAACCGAGUGCGUGUUCCCAUGGUUAUUUUACCCUUUCAUGUCUUGCUAUAAAUAAACAGAAAACUGUUUAUUGUUUUAUUCAUUGGACCUGGCAAGAUAAGGGUUACGUCUCUGCCCGUGUUCAUGUGGCAGUGAGGCAAAUUAUUGAGCCAUAUGAGGAAUCAAAUCCACUGCAAUACUGGAAGGAAAAUGCAGACAGAUUUCCUAUUCUUGCAAAACUUGCCAAAAAAGCCUCAAUGUACCAGCUUCUUCUGCACCAGUUGAACGGCUUUCUAGUAUUGCUGGGAAAAUCUUCUGACCAGAUAGAUGUAGACUUAGUGACUGUACAAUUUAAAUGCUAAUGAUGAUAAAGUGUAAUGAAAAAGCUUGUAAAUAAGUAUUGAAAUCAGAAUAAAGAUUACUUUAAAAAAUA